Molecule: ribosomal RNA, 253 nt
Filed under: uncultured bacterium
Lineage: Bacteria
Description: partial 16S ribosomal RNA
Rfam family: Bacterial small subunit ribosomal RNA
Source: RNAcentral
UACGGAGGGGACUAGCGUUGUUCGGAAUUACUGGGCGUAAAGCGCACGUAGGCGGAUUUGUAAGUCAGUGGUGAAAUCCCGGGGCUCAACCUCGGAACUGCCUUUGAUACUGCAAAUCUCGAGUCCGGAAGAGGUGAGUGGAAUUCCUAGUGUAGAGGUGAAAUUCGUAGAUAUUCGGAAGAACACCAGUGGCGAAGGCGGCCAACUGGUCCGGCACUGACGCUGAGGUGCGAAAGCGUGGGGAGCAAACAGG